CCUUCGAUAGCUCAGUUGGUAGAGCGGUGGACUGUAGUUGUAUACGAAUGGUGAUCCAUAGGUCGCUGGUUCAAAUCCGGCUCGAAGGA
This is a transfer RNA of Operophtera brumata (winter moth), 89 nucleotides long. It matches the Rfam family "tRNA". From Rfam's summary of the family: Transfer RNA (tRNA) molecules are approximately 80 nucleotides in length. Their secondary structure includes four short double-helical elements and three loops (D, anti-codon, and T loops). Lineage: Eukaryota; Metazoa; Arthropoda; Insecta; Lepidoptera; Geometridae. The record is from Rfam.